AGGGUGAACGCUGGCGGCGUGCUUAACACAUGCAAGUCGAACGGUGAAAGAGAAGCUUGCUCCUCUGGAUCAGUGGCGAACGGGUGAGUAACACGUGAGUAACCUGCCCUUGACUCUGGGAUAAGCGUUGGAAACGACGUCUAAUACCGGAUACGACCUCCGAAGGCAUCUUCUGGAGGUGGAAAGAAUUUCGGUCAAGGAUGGACUCGCGGCCUAUCAGCUAGUUGGUGAGGUAAUGGCCCACCAAGGCGACGACGGGUAGCCGGCCUGAGAGGGUGACCGGCCACACUGGGACUGAGACACGGCCCAGACUCCUACGGGAGGCAGCAGUGGGGAAUAUUGCACAAUGGGCGCAAGCCUGAUGCAGCAACGCCGCGUGAGGGACGACGGCCUUCGGGUUGUAAACCUCUUUUAGUAGGGAAGAAGCGAAAGUGACGGUACCUGCAGAAAAGCACCGGCUAACUACGUGCCAGCAGCCGC
This 480-nucleotide ribosomal RNA is filed under the name uncultured bacterium. RNAcentral describes it as "SSU rRNA". It matches the Rfam family "Bacterial small subunit ribosomal RNA", at positions 26 to 518 of the family's 1533-position model. The record is from RNAcentral.